This 453-nucleotide ribosomal RNA is filed under the name uncultured Alphaproteobacteria bacterium. RNAcentral's name for it is "bacterial SSU rRNA". It matches the Rfam family "Bacterial small subunit ribosomal RNA", at positions 87 to 572 of the family's 1533-position model. The record is from RNAcentral. Lineage: Bacteria; Pseudomonadati; Pseudomonadota; Alphaproteobacteria.
UAUUUUUAGUGGCAAACGGGUGAGUAAUGCAUAGGAAUCUGCCUUGUAGUGGGGGAUAACAGUUGGAAACGAUUGCUAAUACCGCGUAAUACCAUUUAUGGGAAAGGCAUCGGUCGCUAUAAGAUGAGCCUAUGUCUGAUUAGUUUGUUGGUGGGGUAAUGGCUUACCAAGACGAUGAUCAGUAGCCGGUCUGAGAGGACGAUCGGCCACACUGGAACUGAGACACGGUCCAGACUCCUACGGGAGGCAGCAGUGGGGAAUAUUGGGCAAUGGACGAAAGUCUGACCCAGCAACGCCGCGUGGUGGAUGAAGGCCUUAGGGUUGUAAACACCUUUUAUUAGGGAAGAUAAUGACGGUACCUAAUGAAUAAGCAUCGGCUAACUUCGUGCCAGCAGCCGCGGUAAUACGAAGGAUGCUAGCGUUACUCGGAAUUACUGGGCGUAAAGAAUGCGU